Molecule: ribosomal RNA, 556 nt
Filed under: uncultured Bacteroidota bacterium
Lineage: Bacteria; Pseudomonadati; Bacteroidota
Description: bacterial SSU rRNA
Rfam family: Bacterial small subunit ribosomal RNA
Source: RNAcentral
GAUGAGCAUGCGUCCCAUUAGCUAGUUGGUAAGGUAACGGCUUACCAAGGCUACGAUGGGUAGGGGUCCUGAGAGGGAGAUCCCCCACACUGGUACUGAGACACGGACCAGACUCCUACGGGAGGCAGCAGUGAGGAAUACUGGACAAUGGGCGCAAGCCUGAUCCAGCCAUGCCGCGUGCAGGAUGACGGUCCUAUGGAUUGUAAACUGCUUUUAUACGAGAAGAAACACUCCUUCGUGAAGGAGCUUGACGGUAUCGUAAGAAUAAGGAUCGGCUAACUCCGUGCCAGCAGCCGCGGUAAUACGGAGGAUCCAAGCGUUAUCCGGAAUCAUUGGGUUUAAAGGGUCCGUAGGCGGUUUAAUAAGUCAGUGGUGAAAGCCCAUCGCUCAACGGUGGAACGGCCAUUGAUACUGUUAAACUUGAAUUAUUAGGAAGUAACUAGAAUAUGUAGUGUAGCGGUGAAAUGCUUAGAGAUUACAUGGAAUACCAAUUGCGAAGGCAGGUUACUACUAAUGGAUUGACGCUGAUGGACGAAAGCGUGUGUAGCGAACAGGA